CCGAGUUUACAACUCCCAAACCCCUGUGAACAUACCUAUUCUUGCUUCGGCGGACCACCCUCGCCUGACCGCGGGGGCCCGCCAGAGGACCCAAAACCCAACUUUGUCUUUGUCUUGCAAACGAACUUCUGAGUGGAUUUUAUAAAUCAAAUCA
This 154-nucleotide unclassified non-coding RNA is filed under the name uncultured Cylindrocarpon. Its description in RNAcentral is "sequence contains ITS1". Lineage: Eukaryota; Fungi; Ascomycota; Sordariomycetes; Hypocreales; Nectriaceae. The record is from RNAcentral.